UCGGGAAUUUUGGGCAAUGGGCGAAAGCCUGACCCAGCAACGCCGCGUGAGGGAUGAAGUAUUUCGGUAUGUAAACCUCGAAAGAAUGGGAAGAAUAAAUGACGGUACCAUUUAUAAGCUCCGGCUAACUACGUGCCAGCAGCCGCGGUAAUACGUAGGCAGCGAGCGUUGUUCGGAGUUACUGGGCGUAAAGAGUGCGUAGGCGGCGAGCCAAGUUUGGUGUGAAAUCUCCCGGCUUAACCGGGAGGGUGCGCCGAAAACUGGUUGGCUGGAGUAUGGGAGAGGAAAGCGGAAUUCCUGGUGUAGCGGUGAAAUGCGUAGAUAUCAGGAGGAACACCUGCGGUGUAGACAGCUUUCUGGACCAAAACUGACGCUGAGGCACGAAAGCGUGGGUAGCAAACA
RNAcentral lists this ribosomal RNA (402 nucleotides) under uncultured bacterium. RNAcentral describes it as "bacterial SSU rRNA". It matches the Rfam family "Bacterial small subunit ribosomal RNA", at positions 355 to 774 of the family's 1533-position model. The record is from RNAcentral.